UGGGGAAUUUUGCACAAUGGGCGCAAGCCUGAUGCAGCGACGCCGCGUGAGGGAUGAAGGCCUUCGGGUUGUAAACCUUUUUCGCUCAUGGUCAAGCCGCAGCUUUGGGUUGUGGUGAGGGUAGUGGGUAAAGAAGCGCCGGCUAACUACGUGCCAGCAGCCGCGGUAAUACGUAGGGCGCGAGCGUUGUCCGGAAUUAUUGGGCGUAAAGGGCUUGUAGGCGGUUGGCCGCGUCUGCCGUGAAAUCCUCUGGCUUAACUGGGGGCGUGCGGUGGGUACGGGUUGACUUGAGUGCGGUAGGGGAGGCCGGAAUUCCUGGUGUAGCGGUGGAAUGCGCAGAUAUCAGGAGGAGCACCGGUGGCGAAGGCGGGUCUCUGGGCCGUUACUGACGCUGAGGAGCGAAAGCGUGGGGAGCGAACAGG
This 422-nucleotide ribosomal RNA is filed under the name bacterium. Its description in RNAcentral is "partial 16S ribosomal RNA". It matches the Rfam family "Bacterial small subunit ribosomal RNA", at positions 355 to 776 of the family's 1533-position model. The record is from RNAcentral.